CACGCAGGCGGUCUGUCAAGUCGGAUGUGAAAUCCCGGGGCUCAACCCCGGAACUGCCUUUGAUACUGGAAGUCUUGAGUAUGGUAGAGGUGAGUGGAAUUCCGAGUGUAGAGGUGAAAUUCGUAGAUAUUCGGAGGAACACCAGUGGCGAAGGCGGCUCACUGGACCAUUACUGACGCUGAGGUGCGAAAGCGUGGGGAGCAAACAGGAUUAGAUACCCCCGUA
This 225-nucleotide ribosomal RNA is filed under the name uncultured Brucella sp. RNAcentral describes it as "partial 16S ribosomal RNA". It matches the Rfam family "Bacterial small subunit ribosomal RNA", at positions 568 to 792 of the family's 1533-position model. Lineage: Bacteria; Pseudomonadati; Pseudomonadota; Alphaproteobacteria; Hyphomicrobiales; Brucellaceae. The record is from RNAcentral.